This 28-nucleotide transfer RNA is filed under the name Torreya nucifera (Japanese torreya). Its description in RNAcentral is "partial tRNA-Leu". The record is from RNAcentral. Lineage: Eukaryota; Viridiplantae; Streptophyta; Pinopsida; Cupressales; Taxaceae.
AAAUCCGUUGGUUUUAUAGACCGUGAGG